This 363-nucleotide long non-coding RNA is filed under the name Pandoravirus dulcis. Its description in RNAcentral is "putative ncRNA". The record is from RNAcentral.
CGCGCGCGAGGGCCUUGGGUGCGAGGUGGCCAAAGUGGAGGCGGCCGCGCUCCUCCAUCGUGAGCACGCCAAAGCGCCGCGAGGCGAGCACGGCGGUGGCAUAGUCGCGCGGUCCAAGCAGCGAGACGACAGCGGCGAGGAUCUCGGGCGGCAGCGAGGUCACGCCGGCACGACUCGGGCGUGCUUUUUGUAUGGCCUUGGUCCGUGAUGCGAUGCGCAUGGCCGGUCGAGGAGAAGAAAAAGAAGCGGACCCGACUAACAACCCACGACAAGCGUAAAAAACAAUUGUUGCGUAAAGAAAAGCGCAUCAAAUAAAAAAAGAGGUCUCGACCGCUGUCGGCAGCGAUUCGUGGCAAAGCCUUG